Molecule: long non-coding RNA, 300 nt
Filed under: Ananas comosus (pineapple)
Lineage: Eukaryota; Viridiplantae; Streptophyta; Magnoliopsida; Poales; Bromeliaceae
Description: long non-coding RNA (ACOM_LNC034022)
Source: RNAcentral
UUUGAUAUUUCUUCUUUAUGAUGUUGAGAUUUUGGAUUGAUUACUUUUUGUUCCUUUGUUGAUAAUUAUGGAUUUAUACUUUGCUCUGAUAUCAGGAUAAAAUGUUUAUAUGUUCUUCCUAUCGACUUGUUUUUCGUAGACGCCUUAUAUACUGCAGGUGUAUGGCGGGUCUGUGCACGUACCGGAUAUGCUUCCGCUGGUACCCGGGGCGUGACAGUUCGAUAUGUUACACCAUCUAUGAUCAAGGUGCCAUAAAGUAUCAGGAUUAAUUCACUGCACCAUAGUAAGAUAAUGAGACAA